UGUAUUAAUAUCUUUCCAAGCAUAAGUCUGCGCACUGAGACUUUUUUUCAUUCAAGGCAUUUUCCCCCAGUCUGCUGUGUCCUUGAGGAAAUUCUGGAGGGAUGCUGGAGAGCUGUUGUCAUGCUGGAACUUGAAUAGGACAUUACAGAGUGCAAGAUCAGAAACCACCCUUCACACAAUAGCUGUGCCAGAAAUGGCUCACCAGGAAGGCAGAUUGCCGAGGGGAAUCCACGUGUUCAGGUGCUUACAAGGCCAAACAGAUAGAAGAGCAGAAUCACAGCACCCAUCUCACCCUGCCGAGGAGGAGGCUCAGGGCACUGUGAAAGUGUGA
This 331-nucleotide long non-coding RNA is filed under the name Junco hyemalis (dark-eyed junco). Its description in RNAcentral is "lncRNA (ENSJHYG00000017567.1)". The record is from RNAcentral. Lineage: Eukaryota; Metazoa; Chordata; Aves; Passeriformes; Passerellidae.